AUGUUUGUGUAGGUUCUUGUGGAUUUUUCCAGGUGUUUAACUUCGUCACCCCAUGUUGUACUCCUGUUGAUGGUGACUCCCAGGUAUUUGUGCUUGGUGACGCGCCUUAUUUCGGUUCCAGCCACUUUUCCAAUGUUGCGCUGAGACUUGGCCCCGGUGUGACGUCUCACCUGCGUCAACAUGGCGCUGUGAACGGUGUUCAUUCGGAAGCGCCGUCAUGCACGAGGAGUCAACCAAAGCCUGCCUAAUGGAGAAGGUUGCUCCAACAGCGGCGAAUGCAAGUCGAGCUGCUGUCUGCGUGCAUCAGGAGUCUCUACAUGUCAG
This is a long non-coding RNA of Ornithodoros turicata, 324 nucleotides long. RefSeq lists it as uncharacterized. The record is from RefSeq and is a predicted model, not a curated record. The transcript has 3 exons. Lineage: Eukaryota; Metazoa; Arthropoda; Arachnida; Ixodida; Argasidae.